Molecule: long non-coding RNA, 5752 nt
Organism: Papaver somniferum (opium poppy)
Lineage: Eukaryota; Viridiplantae; Streptophyta; Magnoliopsida; Ranunculales; Papaveraceae
Exons: 11
Source: RefSeq, a predicted model, not a curated record
GUUCUUCAAACCCAAAUAGAGGCGUUUUUGCCCCUUCUAACGUUGAAGGUGCUGUGCGUGGAAUUUUAACUUGAACCUAAAAGGUUUAUUGUAUAGUCAAAGAGCAAUCAUUAAGAAGCACUGAAAAAGCUAUUGAAUGGUGAGCUAUUGCCGAUGGAGGUAAGACGCUUUGAGCUGAGCUGAUGCAGUUUCCCUGUGUUAUAUUUCCAAUGCCAUUAAAUUCCUGAAUUUUGUUUUAUCAUUUUAUUUUUAUCAAUAUCUAUACUAUCCCAUCGCUAUGGUGGUGUGAUGGUGAGGCGUUACUCACCGAAGCAAUGAAAAUAGUUUGGAAGAGUCCGAAGUGGCCAACAUCAUUUUAAUAGCUUCCCAUCUGUUUUAUUCUAUGUCUAUUUUUAGUUAUGAGCAGCUUCUUGCUGGUCUCUAUCUCAGGCUCUUAAAGAAGAUGAACCUGCAAUACUUUAGUUUUAGGCUUCCAAAUAUAUAGUUUGAGUUUUCAUCCCUAACUCUAUGAUUACAUUUGGCUCAGUACUUUCUUUAGUUUGUUUUACUUUCUCAUGCCUCCUAUUCUUCGUCGUUUCUGUAUCAAAUGCAAAAAGCCUCUAUCAAGGGCGUCACUGAGUAUGCAAAGUCUAUCCGCUCUUCUUGCAAGAAAUGCUCCGAGGCAAUUCCUGCGAAGUCGCUGAGAUUAGGUUCAGAUAGCAAAGAACGAGGGCAUAACGUGACAAGAAUCGGUGCAGAUGCAUGGUCCCUGAUGUUCCAAUCAAUACUAGAGAAGCUAAAUAACUUGUAGAAAGAUAGAUACAAACUGGUGAUCUUUACCAAUAAAUCCAACAUUGAGCGCCGGAAGAAUAAGAGACAGGUAGCAAUUGAUUCUAAAAUUGGACGGCUAAAAAAUUUCAUUGAUUGCGUCAAAGUCCCAAUUCAAGUCGUUUUACGUUUGCAGCUGGGAGAAAGAAUGAUCAUAGUGAUGCAGAUAUCAAAUUCGCCGAGGCUAUUGGAUUGAAGUUUUAUCUUCCUGAAGAUUUUUUUGCUGCCUGAAAGAUGUUUGGCACUUGUUUAUACCCUCUUUUUCGGAACUCCUGUCAAUCCCCAUCGCCACCAACUCUAUGUUUGUAUAGUUAGUUCAUGAUUCAAUUUUGAAUAUGAUUGCCUCCCUCCAAACUUAUGUACAAAAUGCAAUAUUAUGGACCAUCCGGAACAACAUUGUGAAGGGAGUAGACAAUGGUUAAACCCGAAUCUUCAAAAGAAGUUAGCGGAAGGGGAAGGGACUAGUUCAAGAGCUAGUAAGGGAUAUGAGGUUGGAGAAAUUGUAGAGAAGGAAAAACAGAACUCUUCUCUGCAACAAGGGGGGGGAUAACAUGAGACUGGAAGGAAGGGUAAACAAGGAAAAAAAUGCUCAAAUCAGUGGCACUCAAAUGACUGAUGGGUAUGAGAAGGUGGUAGAAAAUGCACUGAAGAUUGUGGCUGUAGGGGUAGAGGGGUCUGAGAAGUUGGAAACAAAAUCAAAAGGAAAAGAAAGCUGGGUGGAGAAGCCUGUGGAGGGAAUAUUGGCAGUUCCAAACUGGAAAAAGAUGAAGUGCAGCAAAGGGAUUGUCAUUGAUGAAACACAUUACUCAGUGCAUAGCGCAAAGAACACAACAAGCUCUCCUACACAAGGUAACAAUUCAUCAAAAUCCCUCAACAACCACACAAAUGUCCUGCAACUGAAUACAUCAAAUUGUCAGGAAAAUAUUAUUUCACCCACUAAAAUCUCAAACAAAGCCCCAAGAACCUACCAGAAAAAAUCCAUCCCAACUAAGCAGAGAGCAACAACUAAUGAAUUUUCAAGUAUGGCUUCACCUCUAGCAAAGAGGAAGCUAAACUUAAGAGAAGAUGAAUAAAUGAUUGAUUGUCAUAAAAAUCCAAUGAAUGAGAAGAAAGAUGAAGUAGUGCAUAUGCUACAUGAAGGGUCUCAAUUCCAAAUGGGGAGGGGGGAUGUAGGAAAAAGUAACAACAACUGUGAACAACCUGAUAAGCCAAAUUCAGUCAAACUAGACUCUGCAGAAAAAAAACUCUAAUUUCACCAGCCAGCACUCGAACCGGUACGAUGGACCAGCAACUGAGGAUGCAGCUAGGACGAUACAUGGUAUCAUGCAGGCAAACCCGGAUACGCUCCCCAGUCUUGGGCACCAGGAAACAUCUCCAAAGCAAGAUGCAGCAACCUUGAAGCAAGAUCAGAGGAAGAAGUAGAAGAUGCAGCAGCUUCCAUGACAAUCCAGUGGACACAUCAACUUAACCAUCCGCAGGUCGAAGUUGAAGGUGACAAUGUGAAAAUCCUUGAAGCUGUCAAGAUCCGACUAAGAAGCAGAAAAGAACAUACAGAUGACUCACCCAGGCAUAAAUAAAAACUUUAUAUUAUGCAUUAGGUACCUCAAGGAACUCAGUCUAGUUCCAAAGUCUCAAAACUUCAUGGCAAGUAAAUUAGCUGAAGCUUGUCUUGAAUAUAAACUCAAUGCGCAGUGGGAUGAAUCGAGUAUCUAACUCCUUUAAAAUACUAAGCUCAUAAGGCUUCACGUUCAACGGUGACCCUCACCAACUCACACAAUUGCUCCGUUUCACUUUUCCUCAAAGGAGAGAAAAAAGAGGAAUUCUCACACAAAUUUCGCCCACAAAACAUAAAACCAAAAAAAAACACAUAUCAAACCCUAAGAACCAGUUUUCUGUUUCGCUCAAAAAAAAAAAAAAAACCUAAGAACAAACCCUAGGAUAUGCUUUGUUCAUGGGAUAAUGAUGAUACAAAGAAAAGAAAAACAACUAGCCAGGGGACAAAGGCUUUAUCGUUUACUUCUCUGUUCUCCUUCAUCUUUUGAUUUCUCUAACAAGAACGAAGAAGUAAGGCACAUCAGGUAUGAUUGUUCAUCACAUGUUCUUAUUUUUUAUGAACACACUCUGUUUUUUAUUUUGUAAGUUAUGGUUUACUUCUUUUUUGAGUUCUUAAAUAUGGAUUUAUUUGAUUUUUAGCAUAAUCAUGAUGUAAACUCAUCCCAUCUCGCCUUAAGAAUAUGAUGGAGAAUAUCCCAAAGUAGCUACUCCUGUCGAUUAUAAUAGACGAUUUGUGUAGUUUGUUUGAUAUGAUUUUGCAGGUGUGGUUUUUGAAGAAGAGAUAAAUAAUCAAAUCCAAAUCUGUAUUGGUAAACUCUAACUCUUUUUCUGUCACUUCAUUUCUUUGAAUCAAUUAACCCUAACCCUUCCUUUUUAUAUUGCGGUAACGAUUUUUCUUUCCUCCUGUUAUUGUGCGUCAGUUGUUUGCUUCAGUUAAGGUUAUGAUUUAUUUAUGUUACCCGAAACUAAUAACAAAAACCUAAUCAGGUACGAAGAACAUUGAUCUUGAUCCAAAUAAUAUCAGUUAUGAGUAUAACCAUUUAGCUUAUGCACCAGUUUGUUUUGGAUUUUUUCCUUCCACUUAUUUUAUGCUACUAACGACAUUGCUUUGAUUUACUUUGUUUUAUUUUGCAGGUACGAUUAGUAAGAUUUUCUGGAAAAAAUACGGAUACAUAAACAACCAACUAAAACGCAAGGUGAAAACCCUAAUAGAUUUUUAUGUUUUAUAUAUCAUUACCUUCUCUUCCAUUACUAAUUUUUUUCAGAACACUUUUAGUUUCAUUCAGAUUUUACAAUUAGUCAUAUGGGUUGUCACAAAACCUUAAUUUAGAAUGGGUUAAAGUUCAUUACAGGUAUAUGCAUAACAAACUGAUGCGUUCAACUUUUUAUAGUUUUUUUGAGUUGGGCGAUUCAGCUUUUUAUGGUUGUUUUCAGUUACACCAAGCACAUCCAGAGUUGUAAGACUCAAAUAUUUUUGCUCCACUUACAUUCUUCUCCUUAGGUAACAGUUGCUGAUGGCUUUCUUCUUAGGUGAUAAUACAUUAAUAAGAUUCGGGUUCUUACUCCAAAGGUAUAAGGUUUUACUUUUUAAAGCUACCUGUGAGAAUAUUUGUACUACGAAAUGUAUAGCAAAAGAAUACUUAUGAGACAGAUACCUCAAAAUUAUGCUUUGCUUCUUUUCGUAAUUUGUUGUUUUUUCAGAAACAAAAUAAAGACAGAGAAGCCGGUUGUUGCAUGCAGAGUGAGACAUUUUUAUGAUGAUUGAUGUUUCUGGCUUUCUAACUUAUUAAUGUACAUUACUCCCUUUUUGUAGGUCACUAAAGGUCAAAUUUCAUUUUGCACCCUAAUCCUUUUUCACUCUUCUUCUUUCUCAACCAUUUAAUGGUUUUUUGUUUUGUUGGUUAUGGUGAGUCUGUUUUUCAUGAGUAAAAUCAGUCUUCCUUUAUCAUUUUCAUCAAUUUCUUUUUUUAGUUCUAUACAUUUGAAAAGAUAAGGGUUUUCUGUUUAUUUGGUGAUGCUAAGUUUGUUUUUCAUCUCAUUUUACAUGUGAAGCUUUUUUUUAAUAUUGGUUUCACUUGCUUUCAUCCCAAUAUAUAUGGUUUAAGAUCAGAAGUAAUUAUGUAUGACCCUAUGAGACGAUAAAGGUUAUGAUUUGUAAAGUUAAAUUUCUAUUAAUGUGAUAAAGUAUUUUAAUUUCUUAUUUUGGAGCUCACUUCAGACGGAUUUUUCAUCCAUGUUGGAAAUGUGGAUAUCAAACUGUUGGCAAUUACAAACGAAAUUAAUCAAUUAUUUAUGCUUCCUUUAUUUUACACACAGUAAGUGUUAGUAGAAGUUUGUGUUCUUAAUAGGAAUAUAGACUUGAUGGAAAUGAAUUUAGUUUUGCAGUUUCUUUGUUACACGGGUUUUGUGAUGCAGAAGAUGAUAAAAAUCCUGAUAAAUUUUGUUUGUUGUAUAAUAAUUAAGUAGACUGAACAAGCCUGUUUGAAAUAUUGGAAGUCUUUAGUCUUCGAGCUGCUAGAGGCACAUAAUGCUUUGGAUAUGGUUCUUUAGUUAUGGCCUCUAAAGUAGUUAUUUAAACAAAUUUCCGAGGAGAUAGAUCCGGUGCUUAAAAUAUGUGUGUAUAAUAUUUUCAAGUUUUAGUGUGACACUUAUAAUCUGAUGUCUUAAUGGUUCAAUUUUUCCUGAUUCUACAUAUGCCAAUGCAUUCUAGCCAUGGCAGUGUUGAUGGUUUGGGAUCUCAAUGGUACGAAGACGUCAACUCUAUACAGCCAAAGUUUUAUCAUAGGAAUUACGACACUGCCUUUCAAGCACUCUACAGAUAGAAUAGAGCUCCAGCUUGCAAAAUUAACCAUUUAAGUUGAACCUAUACGGUAACCACUAUUGCCUACAGAUCAGCAAUGCCUGCAUAUGCUUUGAAAAAACUACAAGCUUUCAUAGACGAAUAUUGGUACUAUAUGGGAUAACCCUCUUGCAGCCAGGGACUCUUCGGGACAGCAAGUCUUCCUUGGUAUCUUAAGUAUCACAUUGAUUGCGUGAUGAAACCAAGAGGGUGCAUAUCUCACGGCUUGAGAGUUUUGGAAUUCUGAAGUCAAUAGUUGGUGUUUUUUAUUCUCCGACUCUUUUCUCAGCUCUGUCUAUUCAGAUUUUAUAGUGCAUUUUCGAAUACAUUCGCUUCUUUCUGUGAUUCUUCUUCCAAAAAUAUACUCCAUCCAUAAAGUAUAGGUAUUACCGUGACAUUGUAAUACUGGUUGUUGCUAUGUUUUGAUCAUCCAAGGUUGUUUAUAAUUUAAUAUUAAAAAAAGGAUUUGUUCAAUGAUUCUGGCUCAAUGGAUUUGCUGGAUUUCAGUUGCUUUCAUUUUUCUUUGAUAAAAUUACUGAUUCAUUUGUUGUU